This 406-nucleotide ribosomal RNA is filed under the name uncultured bacterium. RNAcentral describes it as "partial 16S ribosomal RNA". It matches the Rfam family "Bacterial small subunit ribosomal RNA", at positions 29 to 526 of the family's 1533-position model. The record is from RNAcentral.
AUUGAACGCUGGCGGCAGGCCUAACACAUGCAAGUCGAACGAGUGGCGGACGGGUGAGUAAUGUCUGGGAAACUGCCCGAUGGAGGGGGAUAACUACUGGAAACGGUAGCUAAUACCGCAUACCAUCGGAUGUGCCCCGAUGGGAUUAGCUUGUGGGUGAGGUAACGGCUAACCUAGGCGACGAUCCCUAGUUGGUCUGAGAGGAUGAACAGCAAAAUGGGAACUGAGACACGGGCCAGACGCCUGAGGGAGGCAGCAGUGGGGAAUAUUGCACAAUGGGCGCAAGCCGGAUGUAGCCAUGCCGCGUGGAUGAAGAAGGCCGUCGGGUUGUAAAUUACUUUCAGCGUGGAGGCGUUACCCGAAGAAGAAGCACCGGCUAACGCCGUGCCAGCAGCCGCGGUAAUUC